This 169-nucleotide ribosomal RNA is filed under the name uncultured bacterium. RNAcentral describes it as "partial 16S ribosomal RNA". It matches the Rfam family "Bacterial small subunit ribosomal RNA", at positions 1325 to 1500 of the family's 1533-position model. The record is from RNAcentral.
GCUGGAUUCGCUAGUAAUCGCGCAUCAGCCAUGGCGCGGUGAAUACGUUCCCGGGCCUUGUACACACCGCCCGUCAAGCCAUGAAAGCCGGGGGGCGCCUGAAGUCCGUGACCGCGAGGGUCGGCCUAGGGUGAAACCGGUGAUUGGGGCUAAGUCGUAACAAGGUAAC